GUGCUCGUGUUGGGUGUUGUAUCGUUGAUGGCUGGGUCGACCACUGGUGUACCGAUGUCUACUUGGUAUGGCGCAAACCAAACCGCAACGCCGCCGCCUUCCUACACAACUUACGCAACGACCAGUUUCUGCAUCGAGGUCUUCCAGUACUACACCACUAAAGCACCGGAGUUUUAUACCACAACUUACGCUGCCUCUAGCCACUACACUGACGCCCUGAAGUAUUACUCUGCCCCGAGUUACUACACCAUUUAGGCGACGGAGUACUACAUGACUACGCAUGCUGCCUGGAGUUACUACACCACCAAGGCGUAUGCUGCCCAUCCUACUACACCGAGGCUCCUAAUUACUACACCGAGGCUCCCGCUUUCUCCACCAAAACGGCCGAGUACUACACCGAAGUGAAGUACUUCUCUACCCCGAUCUACACAACGCAGUCCCGACAUGCUACGCAGAAGCUGCUCUUUCGUGCUUUGUUGAACUGAAACACUACACUGAUGCUCCAGUCUACUACACCACGACCUACGCUACACCUAGCUACAACACCGCAGUCCCCAAGUACUACACCGAAAAAGCCGCCCAUUACACAACCACAUGCCUGGUAUACCACAUCGAGGAAUUUAAGUAUUACCCUGCUCCAAACUACUACCAUCUGAUGUUCAUAUGUAUUAGACCAGCAAUUCUCCUGACUUUGUCACCACUACUUAUGUUGCUCCUACCUAUACAUCUAAAUUCUGUAGUAUUUCACUGGAUAUGUUGAAAGAUUGCUGAAAUACAAGAUUGAUCGAUAAA
This is a long non-coding RNA of Daphnia pulicaria, 792 nucleotides long. RefSeq lists it as uncharacterized. The record is from RefSeq and is a predicted model, not a curated record. The transcript is spliced from 2 exons. Lineage: Eukaryota; Metazoa; Arthropoda; Branchiopoda; Diplostraca; Daphniidae.